CCCGCUCUCUCCUUCUCUCUCUUUCUACCCUCCCUCCCUCACCCAGCAAGUUUUCCCCCCCAGGCCCACAGCACCCAACCCAGAACAAUCUCCAAGGAACUUUGUCCAUGGUGGGUGUCACCGUAAAACAAGUGUCUUGUGUAAAUCCAACAGGGACUCGAGCAUGGGACCGUGCAGCGUUUGGCUCACAGCUGGACGAUAUGAAUAAGGCAUCACGUUCAGACCGGCUUCCUCCGGCUCUGCUCCCAGGUCGCCUUUAAUCAUCUGCAGGCUGUCUCAGAGGCUGAACUUACUUAACCUCAAGUAUCACCUGAUCUGAGCCGAAUAUUCUGUCGAGAGCACCAGAGCAUCUUCCCGAACUGAUGCCUUACCAACAUUAUUAACCAAAAAGUCAUCAAACCCGGAGAGAAACCAUCUCUGACUAAAUCAGACUGUCCAAGCAUGCAUGGCUGAGGUCAGGAGGAAAGUGCCACAGAAGGCCGCCACGCCCCGACAACGUCCACACAUGGACCAGACAACACAGAGCAUCAAUCACGACCCAGUGGGACAUGGAGCAGAUGAGGAAGUCCUUUCCCCUCAAAACAAUGAGGUCCCUAAACUGCCACCCCAUUAAGACGACACAAUGGUCCAGGCCGCAGUCCACAGUAUGCAAGAUCAAACCGACACAAAAAAAAAGCCAACAGCUCCCCGUCCCUCUGCGGGUGGGAGACCCAGAGUACUGAAUGCAGGCGUCCGGGCAAUCGGCUUUAAUAGGGUCCGUUCGUGCUGGGCCCCGAGGGCCAAUUGUGUGCAUGAGGGUGCUUGCGUGCAUUCGUGUUGAGUCAGAGGGUCAGAGGGGCUUCAUAUGCUCCGUGACCCCGAAAGGAGAACGGGGAAUUUGUGGCAUGACCCCCCAGCCAGGAUAGUGCCCUCUAUUUGGACCUAAUCUGGUAGCAUCAGGGAUCAGUAUGGUGAGGAGAGGUGGCAGAAUGGACUAGGCAGAAUUGAGCAGAUCACCUCCCGCUGGAGGAUCUCUGGAGGGGGUGGAGACUCACUCUCAUUGCCCCACACACACCCGCUGACCUCUGCCCACACGGGCACCCUGCAUUCUUUUGCAUGUCUUAAGCACAGAUCAGCGUCACCAUGGGGUUGUGUGGUUAGAGGACUCACCGUGCGGUGCUGAGGCCAGACUCGGAGCCUGGCAAGCCGGGCGUUGCCACGGACAUGCGUCCUGCAGCCGUGGGCAUGGUGGAGAGGAUGAAGGCAGCUCUGCGGUCCGCUGAGAGAUGUGCACGGCCCAUGACGGAGCAUUCUGAAUUACUAACCCACGAACCGCACACGUUGGAGGACUGGAGCUUCUGGAAAGAACUGUGGGUUUGUGUGUGUGGGUAUUAAGACUGUUAAUUAUUAGCACUGUGCUCAGUUUUGUGAUUCCUUACUGGUUUAGUGAAGAGGUCGUCACACAUUUAUUAACAUGCACACCAGGCCAACGAAGAGGGAAAAAAUGAC
Electrophorus electricus (electric eel) is the source of this 1488-nucleotide long non-coding RNA. RefSeq lists it as uncharacterized. The record is from RefSeq and is a predicted model, not a curated record. Lineage: Eukaryota; Metazoa; Chordata; Actinopteri; Gymnotiformes; Gymnotidae.